Molecule: ribosomal RNA, 429 nt
Filed under: Chloroflexota bacterium
Lineage: Bacteria; Bacillati; Chloroflexota
Description: Chloroflexi bacterium partial 16S ribosomal RNA
Rfam family: Bacterial small subunit ribosomal RNA
Source: RNAcentral
UGGGGAAUAUUGCACAAUGGGCGCAAGCCUGAUGCAGCCAUGCCGCGUGUGUGAAGAAGGCCUUCGGGUUGUAAAGUACUUUCAGUCGGGAGGAAGGUGGUAAGGUUAAUAACCUUAUCAAUUGACGUUACCGACAGAAGAAGCACCGGCUAACUCCGUGCCAGCAGCCGCGGUAAUACGGAGGGUGCAAGCGUUAAUCGGAAUUACUGGGCGUAAAGCGCACGCAGGCGGUUGAUUGAGUCAGAUGUGAAAUCCCCGGGCUUAACCCGGGAAUUGCAUCUGAUACUGGUCAGCUAGAGUCUUGUAGAGGGGGGUAGAAUUCCAUGUGUAGCGGUGAAAUGCGUAGAGAUCUGGAGGAAUACCGGUGGCGAAGGCGGCCCCCUGGACAAAGACUGACGCUCAGGUGCGAAAGCGUGGGGAGCAAACAGG